GACGAACGCUGGCGGCGUGCUUAACACAUGCAAGUCGAACGGAAAGGCCCUGCUUUUGUGGGGUGCUCGAGUGGCGAACGGGUGAGUAACACGUGAGUAACCUGCCCUUGACUUUGGGAUAACUUCAGGAAACUGGGGCUAAUACCGGAUAGGAGCUCCUGCUGCAUGGUGGGGGUUGGAAAGUUUCGGCGGUUGGGGAUGGGCUCGCGGCUUAUCAGCUUGUUGGUGGGGUAGUGGCUUACCAAGGCUUUGACGGGUAGCCGGCCUGAGAGGGUGACCGGCCACAUUGGGACUGGGAUACGGCCCAGACUCCUACGGGAGGCAGCAGUGGGGAAUAUUGCACAAUGGGCGGAAGCCUGAUGCAGCAACGCCGCGUGCGGGAUGACGGCCUUCGGGUUGUAAACCGCUUUCGCCUGUGACGAAGCGUGAGUGACGGUAAUGGGUAAAGAAGCACCGGCUAACUACGUG
This 468-nucleotide ribosomal RNA is filed under the name uncultured bacterium. RNAcentral's name for it is "partial 16S ribosomal RNA". It matches the Rfam family "Bacterial small subunit ribosomal RNA", at positions 28 to 507 of the family's 1533-position model. The record is from RNAcentral.